This 292-nucleotide long non-coding RNA is filed under the name Sorghum bicolor (sorghum). Its description in RNAcentral is "long non-coding RNA (SBIC_LNC006633)". Lineage: Eukaryota; Viridiplantae; Streptophyta; Magnoliopsida; Poales; Poaceae. The record is from RNAcentral.
GUGAUAGAGGAAGCCGAUCUGAUCCGUCUACGUGCCAUAUCGACGAUUCAGGCUCUGCUGAACAUAUAAACUCUUCAUCAGUGGCAUGCCUUGUUCUUUUCUUUUAAAAACUCCUUAUUAUUUUGGUCUAGCCGAUAGGACUGUUAUCGGCCCCUGUUUAAAACAUUGAGUCCGGCCCCAGAUACACUUUGAUCGAGCCGAUAGGAAUGUUAUCAGCACUUAAACCUUCAUGCAUCAAUCCAUAUGCUAGGGUCAUAUUUCUUUAAAUAUUUGCCAUUCAAUGCUCUGGGAA